UGGGGAAUAUUGCACAAUGGAGGGAACUCUGAUGCAGCGACGCCGCGUGAACGAAGAAGGCUUUCGAGUCGUAAAGUUCUUUUAUAUGGGAAGAUAAUGACGGUACCAUAAGAAAAAGCCCCGGCUAACUACGUGCCAGCAGCCGCGAUAAUACGUAGGGGGCUAGCGUUGUCCGGAAUCACUGGGCGUAAAGGGUUCGCAGGCGGAAAUGCAAGUCAGGUGUAAAAGGCAGUAGCUUAACUACUGUAAGCAUUUGAAACUGCAUAUCUUGAGAAGAGUAGAGGUAAGUGGAAUUUUUAGUGUAGCGGUGAAAUGCGUAGAUAUUAAAAAGAAUACUGGUGGCGAAGGCGACUUACUGGGCUCAUUCUGACGCUGAGGAACGAAAGCGUGGGUAGCAAACAGG
This 403-nucleotide ribosomal RNA is filed under the name Fusobacteriota bacterium. RNAcentral describes it as "Fusobacteria bacterium partial 16S ribosomal RNA". It matches the Rfam family "Bacterial small subunit ribosomal RNA", at positions 355 to 776 of the family's 1533-position model. The record is from RNAcentral. Lineage: Bacteria; Fusobacteriati; Fusobacteriota.